CCUACGGGUGGCAGCAGUGGGGAAUAUUGGGCAAUGGGCGCAAGCCUGACCCAGCAACGCCGCGUGAAGGAAGAAGGCUUUCGGGUUGUAAACUUCUUUUGUCAGGGACGAAGCAAGUGACGGUACCUGACGAAUAAGCCACGGCUAACUACGUGCCAGCAGCCGCGGUAAUACGUAGGUGGCAAGCGUUAUCCGGAUUUACUGGGUGUAAAGGGCGUGUAGGCGGGGAGGCAAGUCAGAUGUGAAAACCACGGGCUCAACCUGUGGCCUGAAUUUGAAACUGUUUUUCUUGAGUGCUGGAGAGGAAAGAGGAAGUCGGGGGGGAGCGGGGAAAGGAGAAGAGAGAAGGAGGAA
This 354-nucleotide ribosomal RNA is filed under the name uncultured bacterium. RNAcentral describes it as "partial 16S ribosomal RNA". It matches the Rfam family "Bacterial small subunit ribosomal RNA", at positions 338 to 706 of the family's 1533-position model. The record is from RNAcentral.